GGGUCAGUAGGUUGGUCGUGCUACCGGUACGUACUGGUCUCACUGAUUCCUCCUUCCUGAAGAACCGUAAUGCCAUUAAUUUGGUGUUGCGGGGAAACAGGACUGUUACUUUGAAAAAAUUAGAGUGUUUAAAGCAAGCUAACGCUUGAAUACAUAAGCAUGGAAUAAUGAAAUAGGACGAUCGAUCCUAUUUUGUUGGUCUCUAGGAUUGACGUA
Molecule: ribosomal RNA, 216 nt
Filed under: Glomeromycotina sp.
Lineage: Eukaryota; Fungi; Glomeromycota
Description: partial small subunit ribosomal RNA
Rfam family: Eukaryotic small subunit ribosomal RNA (bases 40-216)
Source: RNAcentral